CAUGCUGCUUGAACAAAGACACUAGAGAUGGCGGCAUCAUUUUUUUAUGGACACUGAGAACAAAGUCUCAAUAAUAACUGUAGAGUUACUUUUGCUUCAGAUUCUUCUUCUCCCUUAAUAGAGCUCAUUAUGCAAAGAGAAGUCUCAAAAUGCUUUUAGUUUUGUUUUGUUUUGUUGCAGCAAUAUUUGGCAAGAUUCAAGCUAGCCAUUGUUGUACUUUUAGCUGAACAAUCAGGAAUCCAACGGUUACUGAGCCCCGCUUGUGUGGGUUUCAGAGAUGGAAACCGGUACGAGAAGCUCCCAAAUGCCUGAGGAAGUUUCUGCGCAUGAUCAGACUUCCAAAGGAAGCCGUUUCCUGCAAGGUGGAGGUCUUGCUGCCGUUUCUCCCACGGGCAGAGGGAAGGAGCUGUGCAUCUCCAGGACUCCAGGCCGGGUCUCCCAGCUAUGCUCCUGUGAGUCCAACCCGUGUCCCAGUUCCCCGUGGAAUGUAAUUAUGAGAUCGGGGCUGGUCAGAUUCAGGUUUCCCAAACGAGGCAAGGGGCCUCCCGGUCUCCUCUUGGCAGGGACCUCUGCUUGUCUCUUAUUGAAGUACUCGUGUCCUGUGCUGCUCAGAGCUGCCGUGUGGCCAGACUCGAAUUCUAUCAGCCCUUCUCCACUUACUAGCCGGACACCUCUGUGAAAAGAAAAAUUUCCUCAUAUUCUUCCCAGUUGCCGGGUCGUGCAGUUUAUAUUGGAAAGGCGGAAUAAAUAUUUGAUACCUUCUCUUUGUUUACUAGUUUUCAAAACAAUGAAUUAUUCAUCAGCAUCCCCCGGUGGUAACGGUUAUUAUUUUUUUAGUUUCAUUAAGAGCUCCUGGAGUUAAACAUACCCUGGGUUUCAUCUACGGCAGCUUUUCACUUUGAUGAUCACAUUGUCCCCUCCUGGCCAUGGGAAACCUCCUCAGUCGGCCCCCACGUGUGGGGGGACAGUGUCCCCAGCUCCUCUCGCCCACCUCCAGCCUCAAACCGCUGCUCUCACGAACCCAAUCCUGCAAGCUUUGCCUGGGCACCAGAUUUCCAGACGACACACGUGGACACCGCAGAGUGACGACCUCGCUGCAUCUGGACGUCCCCCAACCAUGACAUUGUAGAGCCGAGGGCGGCAGCGGGGUGAGGAUGAGACGAGAGGUGGACGCAUAAAGUCUGGACAUGGAGACAAGAAAGCACAGCGGGGACUGCAGAGCUGUCCACUCUCCUGGCCCAGGGAGGCCUCCCACGAGUGGGGAAAGGGAGCAGCUCCAGAACCAGCCUCCCACCAGGCUCUGCCUGCCUCUGGCCAGCCCCUGGCCAGCCUCGCCCGCCACCUGCCCAGGUUGCCUGCUGGACCUCUUCCACCAAAAGGAACUGUGGUGGCCCCGUUCUGAGACUCGAGGCCCCUUAAGCAUCUGGGGCAGGAGCAGGCUUCCAUGGCCACCCCCAUGAGGCCAGGGGCAGGUGUCCUGCCGCAAAUCCCAUGCCCCCUGGCCUCCUCAGGCUCCCUAAUGGCAGGAGGUGAUUUUUCCCCGCCUCCUGGGCUCUUGCAGCCUCUGAAGCUCUGGAUACCAGUGAGGUGGCCGUGGGGC
Non-coding RNA from Ictidomys tridecemlineatus (thirteen-lined ground squirrel), 1600 nucleotides. NCBI's taxonomy places the organism in Eukaryota, Metazoa, Chordata, Mammalia, Rodentia, Sciuridae. The record is from RefSeq and is a predicted model, not a curated record.